RNAcentral lists this ribosomal RNA (380 nucleotides) under uncultured bacterium. RNAcentral describes it as "bacterial SSU rRNA". It matches the Rfam family "Bacterial small subunit ribosomal RNA", at positions 28 to 410 of the family's 1533-position model. The record is from RNAcentral.
GAUGAACGUUGGCGGCGUGCCUAAUACAUGCAAGUCGAACGAAGACUGUAGUAAUACUGUCUUAGUGGCGAACGGGUGAGUAACGCGUGGGUGACCUGCCCCGAAGUGUGGGAUAACAGUCCGAAAGGAUUGCUAAUACUGCAUAAUAUCCAAGAGAUUAGAUGCUUUUGGAUUAAAAGGAGUAAUUCGCUUCGGGAGGGCCCGCGUCCCAUCAGCUAGUUGGUAAGGUAAUGGCUUACCAAGGCGAUGACGGGUAGGGGACCUGAGAGGGUGGCCCCCACAAUGGAACUGAAACACGGUCCAUACACCUACGGGUGGCAGCAGUAGGGAAUAUUAGUAAUGGGCGAAAAGCCUGAACUAGCAACGCCGCGUGUGCGAAG